UUACUAGGAUAUUCAUUGCUACCUAUGGGGUCAGAGUCCAGGGUCAGUCCAUGUAUAGUCUUUAGGUAGUGGCUUAGUCCCUGGAAGCUCUGGUUGCUUGGCAUUGUUGUACUUUUGGGGUCUCGAGCCCCUUCAAGCUCUUCCAGUUCUUUCUCUGAUUCCUUCAAUAGGGGACCUAUUCUCAGUUCAGUGGUUUGCUGCUGGCAUUCGCCUCUAUAUUUGCUGUAUUCUGGCUGUGUCUCUCAGGAGCGAUCUACAUCCGGCUCCUGUCGGUCUGCACUUCUUUGCUUCAUCCAUCUUGUCUAAUUGGGUGGCUGUAUAUGUAUGGGCCACAUGUGGGGCAGGCUCUGAAUGGGUGUUCCUUCAGUCUCUGUUUUAAUCUUUGCCUCUCCCUUCCCUGCCAAGGGUAUUCUUUUUCCUCAUUUAAAGAAGGAGUGAAGCAUUCACAUUUUGAUCAUCCGUCUUGAGUUUCGUUUGUUCUAGGGAUCUAGGGUAAUUCAAGCAUUUGGGCUAAUAGCCACUUAUCAAUGAGUGCAUACCAUGUAUGUCUUUCUGUGAUUGGGUUAGCUUCCUUUUAUUACAUGCCUCUGUGUAUGUCUAUAUCCUUUUAUUUCUAAACAUAACCUGCUCAGUCUAUAUGUUACUCACACAUAUAGUUUCAAAGCUUAUGAUUUACUAUUGGAUAAUUAAUUGGUGUGCUCUUCUCUGAAAACUUCCUUCCACUCUCAACAUGCCUUAGUUUCCUAUAACUCUUUGUAUAUGAUUGAGACCUUGUGGGCCUUCCACAAUCAACAUCAGUGUAUCUACUGUUGUUCCUGUUCAGCUCAGGCAUAUGGAGUCAUAAAACUACUUUAUGGGUUUAGCGUCUGACAUCACUAGGAUACACAAUCUUACAGCAAAUUCCCUGAACCUUGAUCUUACAAACUCAUCACCGACCCUAGUUCAGCAAUGCUCUCUGACUGUGGGACUCUGGGAAACUGUAUAGCUAGCUGGUUAAAGGGGUUCCUAAGUGAAGAUCCUUGAAGGUUCCACAUGACCCCAUUUCCCAGUUGCUAUGAUUUGUGGUUCUUCACUGUGAGUAGAUAUUGCCACAAGCUCCUCCUGCUGAGCUUUUACUACCACUGUCACUGACAUGCCCUGAAACCAUGACUGAAAUGUAUCUUUCCUCAACUGAGGUGUACUGUUUGAUAGUAUGGUCACAGAAACAGAAAACAAAUUCAUACUAUGUCCAUCUGAGAGGAAAGGAGGAAAUCCUCGGAGAAAAGCAAAAGUGCUUCCCCUUUAUCUUGGACUUGUAGAUUCUGAAACAUGGAGGAAGAAAAUGCCUGCUGAUUUUGUCUAAUGGCCUGUGACACUGUGAUAGCAGUCCAAGAAAGUGAGUAUACUUAUUACAUAAAACUUUUAGCUCACACGGGCAGGUAAGUGAGGGCCCUAAACCCACAAAAUGUGACAAUAGAGGCUGAUAUUACCCUCUUUUCAAAUGAGAACAAUCUUUUGUCCCCCUUCAUCCCACCGAAGACAUUAGGAAUGCCUCUUUCAGUCCUAGUGACUUCAUCUUGCCUCUCUGGUUCCAGAGCACAGAAUAGCUCUUAAAAGAGGUAAUAUUAUUUGAUAAAAGAAGAUGUAAUUACUCCACAUGUAUUCAAAUAAAAUAGACCCAAUGUCACAAGGAUCUUUCCAUAAAUAAAAUUAAUAUUAACUUCAGGCAUUGGAUUUGAAAAGCAUUAUGGUUAUUUUAUUAUAAAAUACCAUGAGUAUAUCUGAGUUUUAGUGUCAUGUUCUCUUAGUAGAAAAUAACAUCUGAUCACUGCAGUAUAUAGAUUCACGUUAUAAUAGUCACUCAUGCCAUCCUCCAAACAGAAAUAGAUUGACUGGUAUUAUACAGGAUUUUAAAUAUACCAACGAAGUUUGUCAUCUUUAAGAUGUUUGGAUAAAAUGUCAUUUUGUCACUUGAUUCUGCCCUUAGUUGCCCUUGCUUUUCAGAGAUCUUUUAUAACCUAAAAUGCCACUGACUGUCAGAGUACAAUGAAUCAUGUAUCACUGCUGCCCACAUGCCUGCUUAGAAACUCAUCCAUUCAAUGGGCUCUCUCUAAUGUCUGAACAAAACACCUUCAGUAUAGAAACCUCUAUCCUUAGUCUGUUCCUCGCAUAUUAAAUUAUUUAUGAAUCACAGAGUUUCAGGUACACUUGUGAACAUCAAUAUUUUCUAAUGGCUGUAGAAUUUGUAAGUCAUGUUUUCAUAAACCUGUAUAAAUCACAGCGAUUCUAAAGAGUCAAAAUUGUACUUUCAUAAUUUAUCGCUUAAAAUAUUAGCUUAAUUGUGUGUGUGUCUGUGUGUGUGUGUGUGUGUGUGUGUGUGUGAGUGUGUGUGUGUACUGUGUGCCAUGAGUCAUGGAGUAAGUGGAGGGCAACUUACCUGAUUUUCUACUCGUGUAGGCAAAACAGUAUUAGUGUAGGUUAUUAUAGGACAAUGUCUGGAUAGGUUUUUAAAAUGUACUUUUUAGGAAAGAGAGACUAUUUCAGACAAUGUGCUUUCAAUAAGAUGUACUUUUUCUCAGCAAUUGGACACUGAGGGGUAGGUACAUUUGUAAGCUCAAAUGUGCUGGUUGAGUUCUGAACCUUCAGUGUUAGAAAGGUUUAGACAGGUUGUGUCCUUUACGUUGAUUGGAUCCUGAAAAUAUAGGCCUACUGAAUUGGAGAGACAUUCUUACAAAUGAGAUAAAAAGUUUCUCCUCAGACUGUCAUACAUAUAAAGAUACCCAAAAGGACAUGCAGGAAAUGCAGGUAUAGAAAUGGAGAAGAGUCUGAGGAAAAGAAUGUCCAGCAACAGGCCCAAAGUGGGAUCCAACUCAAGAGGAGGCCUCAAGACCUGACAUCAUUACUGAGGCAAUGGGGCAUCACAAAAGGGCACCUAUUAUGAUUGCCCUCUAAAAGACCCAACAAGCAGCUGAAAAAGGCAGAUGCAGAUAUGUGCCCCCAACCAAUGAACAGAAGCUGCUGACCCCUCUGGUUGAAUUAGGGAAAAGCUGGAGGAAACUAAGGAGGAGGGCAGCCCUGUAGGAGGACCAGCAGUCUCAAUUAACCUGGACCCCUGAGAUCUCUCAGACACUGGAUCACCAACCAGGCAGCGUACAUCAACUGCAAUGAGGACCCCACACAUAGAUAGUAGAGGACUCCCAGGUCUGGGUUCAGUCAGAGAAGAUGCAACUAACCCGCUAGAGACUGGAGGCCCCAGGAAGUUUAGAGGUCUGGUGGGGUGGGUAGGUUGGGGACAUCCUUGUGGAGACAUGGGGCACGGGGAUGUGGAACUUCCGGGGUGUUGGUGGUGGACCGGGAGGCAAAUAGAAUCUGGACUGUAAAAAUUUAAAAAAGAAAUGAUACAGGUGAAAGAUAGCUCUCUGGAGAGAAAGCCCUGGCCAUAUUCCUAAGGUGUUGAAUCUGCAAAUUUCAAAGCAGUCCUAUUUCCCUACUGUAUGUGAACUAACACGGCUAUUUAUAACGCUCUUCCCCUUGCGCGUGUUUCUUAAAGCUCAGCUAGACUCAAACAGCUUAUUGUGAGCAAGCUAAAUAUAUAAGUGUUGUUUUCUGCAUUUGUUGAAAUUAUAUUUAUUUUAUGUACCCCCUAAACAUCUUCCGAUAUACUGAGGUUUUAUUUAUCUCUUGCACCUAUUUUCUAAAGAAUGUAUCAAUUUAUCAGGAAAACCCACCAAUUACUAUGCCUGUCAGAUAUUCAGCAUUCUUCAAUACUUUAAAAUUCCUAAGAGCUCUCUGCUUUCACUCACCUGUGUGACACUGUGUUUCACUUCACUCUGGAUCAUCUUGCUCUAGAAGUAGAAGAGGGGAAGAAGAAGAGGAAGAGGAAGAGGAAGAGGAAGAAGAAGAAGAAGAAGAAGAAGAAGAAGAAGAAGAAGAACAAGAAGAACAAGAAGAAGAAGAAGAAGAAGAAGAAGAAGAAGAAGAAGAAGAAGAAGAACAAGAACAAGAACAAGAACAAGAACAAGAACAAGAACAAGAACAAGAACAAGAACAAGAACAAGAACAAGAAGAACAAGAAGAACAAGAAGAACAAGAACAAGAACAAGAACAAGAACAAGAAGAACAAGAACAAGAAGAGCAAGAUGUGGUCUUCUUUGGGGAUGAAAAUUGUGCCUUCUACAACAGGAGGAAAAUAUAGUAGCAGCCUCUAAAACUAUCAGUAAAAGUAUUGUAUUUUCAAAAUAUGGCAACAUGACUCUUGAAUUGAAUAACAUGUUUUAACAUUAAACAUGGAUUUAUGUUAUUUCUGACUAGUGGGUUGGUUAUUUUUAAACAAUCAUUGUUGCUAGGUAGUAUGGAAAGCAAAAGUGAAUUAAAUGUGCAUUCAAAAUGCUAAAUGUUGAUAAUACUUCCCUUUUUAAAAUCUUUCAGCAAGUAUUAUACUGAUGCAGUAUAUCUAAGACUCCUUAAUAUUUACCUUUUCAUAAGGCAAACAUCAACAUUUUAAAGAUACUUCAGUUUUUCUGUCAUAUAAUGUAGCUAUAAUUGUUCUGUAUUUUAUUCUUGUAUUAAUCAUUAAAAGGUAAUUAAUAUUGAUUUAUUAUUAGUUUAUUACUUAAAGUUUUUUCUGUGCCUAUUUAUUUUUUAUCUUUAUUAACUUGAGUAUUUAUUUACAUUUCGAUUGUUAUUCCCUUUCCCGGUUUCAGGGCCAAUACCACCCUAACCCCUCUCCCUCCCCUUCUCUAUGGGUGUUCCCAUCCCCAUCCUUCCCCCAUUACCGCCUUCCCCCCAACAAUCACUUUCACUGGGGGUUCAGUCUUAGCAGGACCAAGGGCUUCCCCUUCCACUGGUGCUCUUACUAGGCUAUUCAUUGCUACAUGGGUCAGUCCAUGUAUAGUCUUUGGGUAGUGGCUUAGUCCCAGGAAACUCUGGUUGGUUGGCAUUGUUGUUCAUAUGGGGUCUUGAGCCCCUUCAAGGUCUUUCUUUCCUUUCUCUGAUUCCUUAAAUGGGGGUCCCGUUCUCAGUUCAGUGGUUUGCUGCUGGCAUUCGCCUAUGUAUUUGCUGUAUUCUGGCUGUGUCUCUCAGGAGAGAUCUACAUCCGGUUCCUGUCUCCCUGCACUUCUUUGCUUCAUCCAUCUUAUCUAAUUGGGUGGCUGUAUAUGUAUGGGCCACAGGUGUGGUAGGCUCUGAAUGGGUGUUCCUUCUGCCUCUGUUUUAAACUUUGCCUCCCUAUUCCCUGCCAAGGGUAUUCUUGUUCCCCUUUUAAAUGAGUGAAGCAUUCACAUUUUGGUCAUCCCUCUUGAGUUUCAUGUGUUCUGUGCAUCUAGGGUAAUUCAAGCAUUUGGGCUAAUAGCCACUUAUCAAUGAGUGCAUAUCAUGUGUGUUUUUCUGUGAUCGGGUUACCUCACACAGGAUGAUAUUUUCCAGUUCCAUCCAUUUGCCUAUAAAUUUCAUAAAGUCAUUGUUUUUGAUAGCUGAGUAAUAUUCCAUUGUGUAGAUGUACCACAUUUUCAGUAUCCAUUCCUCUGUUGAAGGGCAUCUGGGCUCUUUCCAGAUUCUGGCUAUUAUAAAUAAGGCUGCUAUGAACAUAAUGGAGCAUGUGUCUUUUUUAUAUGAUGGAGCAUCUUUUCGAUAUAUGCCCAAGAGAGGUAUAGCAGGGUCCUCAGGUAGUUCAAUGUCCAAUUUUCUGAGGAACCUCUAGACUGAUUUCCAGAAUGGUUGUAUCAGUCUGCAAUCCCACCAACAAUGGAGGAGUGUUCCUCUUUCUACACAUCCCCGCCAGCAUUUGCUAUCACCUGAGUUUUUGAUCUUAGCCAUUCUCACUGGUGUGAGGUGAAAUCUCAUGGUUGUUUUGAUUUGCAUUUCCCUUAUGACUAAAGAUGUUGAACAUUUCUUUAGGUGUUUCUCAGCCAUUCGGCAUUCCUCAGCUGUGAAUUCCUUGUUUAGCUCUGAAUCCCAUUUUUAAUAGGGUUAUUUGUCUCCCUGCAGUCUAACUUCUUGAGUUCUUUGUAUAUUUUGGAUAUAAGCCCUCUAUCUGUUGUAAGAUUGGUAAAGAUCUUUUCCCAAUCUGUUGGUUGCCAUUUUGUCCUAACCAUAGUGUCCUUUGCCUUACAGUUUUAUGAGAUCCCAUUGGUUGAUUCUUGAUCUUAGAGCAUAAGCCAUUGGUGUUUUGUUCAGGAAAUUUUCUCCAGUGCCCAUGUGUUCGAGAUGCUUCCCCACUUUUUCCUCUAUUAGUUUGAUGUUUUUCUGGUUUGAUGUAGAGGUCCUUGAUUCACUUGGACUUAAGCUUUGUACAGGUGAUAAGCAUGGAUCGAUCUGCAUUCCUCUACAUGUUGACCUCCACUUGAACCAGCACCAUUUGCUGUAAAUACUAUCUUUUUCCUAUUGGACGGUUUUGGCUCCUUUGUCAAAAACCAAGUGACCAUAGGUGUGUGGGUUCAUUUCUGGGUCUUCAAUUCCAUUCCACUGGUCUAUCUGUCUGUAUCUGUACCAAUAAAUGCAGUUUUUAUCAAUAUUUCUCUGUAAUACUGUUUGAGUUCAGGGAUAGUGAUUCCCCCAGAAGUCCUUUUACUGUUGAGGAUAGUUUUAGCUAUCCUGAUUUUUUUGUUAUUCCAGAUGAAUUUGCAAAUUGUUCUGUCUAACUCUUUGAAGAAUUGGAUUGGUAUUUUGAUGGGGAUUGCAUUGAAUCUGUAGAUUGCUUUUGGUAAAAUGGCCAUUUUUACUAUAUUAAUCCUGCCAAUCCAUGAGCAUGGGAGAUUUUUAUUUUUGCCCCGAUUGCCCAAACACCCCUAGAUCCUUUCAACCUUCACACCAACCCAAAUUUACAUCAUUUCUCGUUGUCUGUAUCUUUCAUUAGAAAACAUACAGGCAUCUAAUAAUAACUAGACAAAAUACAAUAAUAAAAUAAAAACAAUUUAAACUGAGUAGGAUAAAACAAGCAAAGGAAAGAGAAAUGAAGGAGCCCAAGAAAAAUCAUAAGUACAUAUACAUGAGGACACACACACACACACACACACACACACACACACACACACACAUUCACAAACACAGAAA
Molecule: non-coding RNA, 7029 nt
Organism: Rattus norvegicus (Norway rat)
Lineage: Eukaryota; Metazoa; Chordata; Mammalia; Rodentia; Muridae
Source: RefSeq, a predicted model, not a curated record